AGAGUUUGAUCCUGGCUCAGGACGAACGCUGGCGGCGUGCUUAACACAUGCAAGUCGAGCGGUAAGGCCCUUCGGGGUACACGAGCGGCGAACGGGUGAGUAACACGUGGGUGACCUGCCCCCUACUCUGGGAUAAGCCUGGGAAACUGGGUCUAAUACCGGAUAUGACUGCUGGUUGCAUGACUGGUGGUGGAAAGUGUGUUCUUGAUUGAGCACCUCGGUGGGGGAUGGGCCCGCGGCCUAUCAGCUUGUUGGUGGGGUGAUGGCCUACCAAGGCGACGACGGGUAGCCGGCCUGAGAGGGCGACCGGCCACACUGGGACUGAGACACGGCCCAGACUCCUACGGGAGGCAGCAGUGGGGAAUAUUGCGCAAUGGGCGGAAGCCUGACGCAGCGACGCCGCGUGGGGGAUGACGGCCUUCGGGUUGUAAACCUCUUUCGGCCCCGACGAAGCGUGAGUGACGGUAGGGGUAGAAGAAGCACCGGCCAACUACGUGCCAGCAGCCGCGGUAACACGUAGGGUGCGAGCGUUGUCCGGAAUUAUUGGGCGUAAAGAGCUCGUAGGCGGUGUGUCGCGUCGGCCGUGAAAACCUGCAGCUUAACUGUGGGCUUGCGGUCGAUACGGGCAUCACUGGAGUUCGGCAGGGGAGACUGGAAUUCCUGGUGUAGCGGUGAAAUGCGCAGAUAUCAGGAGGAACACCGGUGGCGAAGGCGGGUCUCUGGGCCGAUACUGACGCUGAGGAGCGAAAGCGUGGGGAGCGAACAGGAUUAGAUACCCUGGUAGUCCACGCCGUAAACGUUGGGCGCUAGGUGUGGGGGCCAUUCCACGGUCUCUGUGCCGUAGCUAACGCAUUAAGCGCCCCGCCUGGGGAGUACGGCCGCAAGGCUAAAACUCAAAGGAAUUGACGG
RNAcentral lists this ribosomal RNA (909 nucleotides) under uncultured bacterium. RNAcentral's name for it is "bacterial SSU rRNA". It matches the Rfam family "Bacterial small subunit ribosomal RNA", at positions 8 to 916 of the family's 1533-position model. The record is from RNAcentral.